AGUGAGUAUCACAUUGUGACAGAACGGAGU
RNAcentral lists this non-coding RNA (30 nucleotides) under Rattus norvegicus (Norway rat). Lineage: Eukaryota; Metazoa; Chordata; Mammalia; Rodentia; Muridae. The record is from RNAcentral.